Long non-coding RNA from Bombus impatiens (common eastern bumble bee), 189 nucleotides. RefSeq lists it as uncharacterized. NCBI's taxonomy places the organism in Eukaryota, Metazoa, Arthropoda, Insecta, Hymenoptera, Apidae. The transcript has 3 exons. The record is from RefSeq and is a predicted model, not a curated record.
AGACAUUGUGUAACUAUGCGUCCGUGACCGUUGCCACGCACGCUUUCUUCUGGAACAUUCGGCUGAAGGACCGUUGGGAUAUCGAUGGCUCAUUAGGCACUUCGGCCAUAUACGUUUUCGCCGAGUGUCGCCACGUCUUUAUUUCCAUCGUCAGUCCAUCGGGUUUGACGUGUGCCGGUCGUGACACGU